Molecule: long non-coding RNA, 260 nt
Filed under: Vigna radiata
Lineage: Eukaryota; Viridiplantae; Streptophyta; Magnoliopsida; Fabales; Fabaceae
Description: long non-coding RNA (VRAD_LNC000523)
Source: RNAcentral
CUUAUCACAACAAUGUAAAUCACGCUGCAGGCUGAAUGGAUCAUCUAUAAAUCCAUGGCAGCAUCACUCUGUAAAAGACUUUGGUGCAUAUAUGAAAUUUCUUUUGCUGCAACUUGCUUUCCAGCUUUAGAGUUCUGCCAAAGUCUUCUUAGAUCUUUCCACUCACCACCUAGUUCCUUCCAAGAAUGGAAGGCGACUGAACUAGAUACAUUCCAUCUCAGAUCUGCAUCCAUUAUUUCACUUCCACAUUCCACCCUCCG